UAGGGAAUAUUGCACAAUGGGGGAAACCCUGAUGCAGCGACGCCGCGUGAGUGAUGAAGGCCUUCGGGUCGUAAAGCUCUGUUGUAUGGGAAGAAAAAAAUGACUGUACCAUACGAGAAAGGACCGGCUAACUUCGUGCCAGCAGCCGCGGUAAGACGAGGGGUCCUAGCGUUGCUCGGAAUCAUUGGGCGUAAAGCGCAUGUAGGCGGCCUUAUAAGUCAGAUGUGAAAUACCUGGGCUCAACCCAGGACGUGCAUUUGAUACUGUUUGGCUUGAGUAUAGGAGAGGGCAGUGGAAUUCCUGGUGUAGUGGUGAAAUACGUAGAUAUCAGGAGGAACACCGGUGGCGAAGGCGGCUGCCUGGCCUAUAACUGACGCUGAGAUGCGAAAGCGUGGGGAUCAAACAGG
RNAcentral lists this ribosomal RNA (407 nucleotides) under uncultured bacterium. Its description in RNAcentral is "bacterial SSU rRNA". It matches the Rfam family "Bacterial small subunit ribosomal RNA", at positions 355 to 776 of the family's 1533-position model. The record is from RNAcentral.